Long non-coding RNA from Bolinopsis microptera, 662 nucleotides. RefSeq lists it as uncharacterized. The transcript is spliced from 3 exons. The record is from RefSeq and is a predicted model, not a curated record. Lineage: Eukaryota; Metazoa; Ctenophora; Tentaculata; Lobata; Bolinopsidae.
GCUUGAGCACGUGCGAGAACGGAAUCACGUCAGAUCUAUCACUGUGACAUGUAAUACGUUUAUCAGUUUAGGUCCCGUAUGACAGAGAUUUUAGCUUUUAUUUACUGGCUCCGUAACAAGGACGCAAACCCUGAAUUACCAUAUUGAAUCGAGUCAGACAUCAGAAGAUUCUAGAGAUUCACAAUUUUGUUAGAAAAAUUUACUUAUUACUGGAUGCUUAAGAUUCUGCUUAAAGAUGCCGACUUGCAGUACUUUCAACUCUCCCCAAAAGUGCAAGAAAUGCCUCAAAGAUUUUACUGAAAUUUGGAUUCCCAACAAGGAAUGUUGCAUGAUAGAGCGGCUCAAUGCCCAAGUUGAUGAUGAUUAUUUUCAAAGGCAUGAAAUAAAGAAGCUGCGUAACAGAAGUACCGUUCGAGAUCUUCACUCCUUUGUGACGCAUAAUACAGGGACACCUUUUUAUACAUUACAAAAGCCCACAUGCGGAUCCAAUUUCUCUCCCGACACAGACCACAAGAAGUAUAAACAUGGGGUACUGCCGGCGGAUCUAUCCAAGUGGCAGAACAAGAAUUACGAUCUCCAACAACCGAUUGUACGGCCAUUGGCAUUAGCUAGUCAGGUCCCAAAGAAGUUGUAGGCUUGAUAAUUUUACGGUAUUUUAGCAA